AGUGAACGCUGGCGGUAGGCCUAACACAUGCAAGUCGAACGGCAGCACAGUAAGAGCUUGCUCUUACGGGUGGCGAGUGGCGGACGGGUGAGGAAUACAUCGGAAUCUACUUUUUCGUGGGGGAUAACGUAGGGAAACUUACGCUAAUACCGCAUACGACCUACGGGUGAAAGCAGGGGAUCUUCGGACCUUGCGCGAUUGAAUGAGCCGAUGUCGGAUUAGCUAGUUGGCGGGGUAAAGGCUCACCAAGGCGACGAUCCGUAGCUGGUCUGAGAGGAUGAUCAGCCACACUGGAACUGAGACACGGUCCAGACUCCUACGGGAGGCAGCAGUGGGGGAUAUUGGACAAUGGGCGCAAGCCUGAUCCAGCCAUACCGCGUGGGUGAAGAAGGCCUUCGGGUUGUAAAGCCCUUUUGUUGGGAAAGAAAAGCAGCAGGUUAAUACCCCGCUGUUCUGACGGUACCCAAAGAAUAAGCACCGGCUAACUUCGUG
This 492-nucleotide ribosomal RNA is filed under the name uncultured bacterium. Its description in RNAcentral is "partial 16S ribosomal RNA". It matches the Rfam family "Bacterial small subunit ribosomal RNA", at positions 29 to 507 of the family's 1533-position model. The record is from RNAcentral.